This 492-nucleotide ribosomal RNA is filed under the name uncultured bacterium. RNAcentral describes it as "partial 16S ribosomal RNA". It matches the Rfam family "Bacterial small subunit ribosomal RNA", at positions 29 to 507 of the family's 1533-position model. The record is from RNAcentral.
AGUGAACGCUGGCGGUAGGCCUAACACAUGCAAGUCGAGCGGCAGCACAGUAAGAGCUUGCUCUUACGGGUGGCGAGUGGCGGACGGGUGAGGAAUACAUCGGAAUCUACUUUUUCGUGGGGGAUAACGUAGGGAAACUUACGCUAAUACCGCAUACGACCUACGGGUGAAAGCAGGGGAUCUUCGGACCUUGCGCGAUUGAAUGAGCCGAUGUCGGAUUAGCUAGUUGGCGGGGUAAAGGCCCACCAAGGCGACGAUCCGUAGCUGGUCUGAGAGGAUGAUCAGCCACACUGGAACUGAGACACGGUCCAGACUCCCACGGGAGGCAGCAGUGGGGAAUAUUGGACAAUGGGCGCAAGCCUGAUCCAGCCAUACCGCGUGGGUGAAGAAGGCCUUCGGGUUGUAAAGCCCUUUUGUUGGGAAAGAAAAGCAGCAGGUUAAUACCCCGCUGUUCUGACGGUACCCAAAGAAUAAGCACCGGCUAACUUCGUG